Molecule: ribosomal RNA, 460 nt
Filed under: uncultured bacterium
Lineage: Bacteria
Description: partial 16S ribosomal RNA
Rfam family: Bacterial small subunit ribosomal RNA
Source: RNAcentral
CCUACGGGAGGCAGCAGUGAGGAAUAUUGGUCAAUGGACGAGAGUCUGAACCAGCCAAGUCGCGUGAAGGAUGACUGCCCUAUGGGUUGUAAACUUCUUUUAUAUGGGAAUAAAAUGUUCCACGUGUCGGAUGUUGUAUGUACCAUAUGAAUAAGGAUCGGCUAACUCCGUGCCAGCAGCCGCGGUAAUACGGAGGAUCCGAGCGUUAUCCGGAUUUAUUGGGUUUAAAGGGAGCGUAGGGGGGUUGUUAAGUCAGUUGUGAAAGUUUGCGGCUCAACCGUAGAAUUGCAGUUGAAACUGGCAGUCUUGAGUUGAGGAGAGGUAUGCGGAAUUCGUGGUGUAGCGGUGAAAUGCUUAGAUAUCACGAAGAACUCCGAUUGCGAAGGCAGCUCACUGGACUGCAACUGACACUGAGGCUCGAAAGUGUGGGUAUCAAACAGGAUUAGAUACCCUUGUAGUC